Molecule: non-coding RNA, 74 nt
Organism: Potamilus streckersoni
Lineage: Eukaryota; Metazoa; Mollusca; Bivalvia; Unionida; Unionidae
Source: the annotation of a GenBank genome assembly
AGCUCGGGUGGCCUAGUGGUUAGAGCAUCUGUCUUGGAUGCAGGAGAUCAUGGGUUUGAUCCCCAGUUGAGUCA